Venturia canescens is the source of this 7400-nucleotide RNA transcript. It is a transcript of the gene named RNA-binding protein 6, with no coding region annotated. The transcript has 18 exons. The record is from RefSeq and is a predicted model, not a curated record. Lineage: Eukaryota; Metazoa; Arthropoda; Insecta; Hymenoptera; Ichneumonidae.
ACCUCUAGCAGAGCGCGUCGCACGUCCGAGUACCGGCCGCCGCCCGUCAUCAGUCGCCGUACUAACGCGCAGCCCAACGUAACCUCUUUACCUUCUUAGUUUUUAGUAGUUCAGUAGUAGGAUAACACCAACAACAACAACACACACACACACAUACACACACACACACACACCAUAUUAAUGAACCAACUCAACAUUCGUAUUUGAAGGAAUAGGAAGAAAAAAAACGAACAAACAAUAGAUACAUCGGGGAUAGAAGGAAAAUAAGGAGAGAGCGACACUCGCCGGUCGCUUUGCCAUCCCUGUAAGAAGCAACAAGAAUAUCAUUAAGAGGGGCUAAUCAUUUUCAGAAGCCCGAUAUCGUUGUUUCUUUUUUUUUUCUCCGAGUUACGAAAUUAACAAGGACGUGAAACCUCGACGUGAAAGAGUGCCCAACGGACAACCUCAUAUGCGAACGUUUUCGCUGCUGUGAAAAUCAUUACAAGAGAUAACAGUAGAUGAGAAAGAAUAGCAUAAAAAUAUAUCGGAGAACGAAUCUCCUUCGUUUUGUUGGAGCAUUGUGUACAACAAAGCGGAACUGACAACACACGUGCUCUUCUUCUGCUUCUUCUUCUUCUUCUUCUUCUUCUUCUUCUGCUUCUUCUGCUUCUUUCAGCUUCCCUCCGCAUAUCGAAAUCAUUUGACAAGCAUCCGAGGCACAAAGAAGUCCUUCUGAGCAGCAGCUAAAUACGAUAUUGAAUAAUUUGAAAAAAUAAAACUCCGCGGUGGAUUUAUUGUUUUCUUUCUUCUUCUCAUUCGUACUCUCCGCUUCUGCUUUGUCUUGGUCAACUUGAAAUCUUGGAAUCACCUCGACUCUCGCACAAUUGUUAAAAAUCAUAGAACGUAUGACUGUUGACGACGAGGAUUCGAAGAGGAUCUCGCGUUAUUUCCGGCCUGUCGAAAACACAGAGAGCCUAAUUAAUAAUUAGAUAAAUGAUAAAUCGUAACCGGAUCGUUACCAGGACGAGAAGAAGCGCGGUUCGAUUGAUAAUAUCGUCGGAAUAAACCGCUGAAGGAGUGUGUCUCGCAUCGUUCAAACAAUCUUGUUCAUCACGCUGGAUCGUAUGUUCUCGUGGUGCGUGUGACAGUGCGCGUAAACACAAAGAUCGAGCCGAGGAUUCAUUCGAUACGCUUGAUCGACGACAUUAAUAGUCCGAAUAAAUGAAGGAAUUACGGCUCUCUCGUUAAUUCUCGUUAACCUCAAUAUCUAAUCGUCUAAUCCUGCUGAAGCACAAGUUAAAGUCCCUCUCGGUUGGAAAUUCGAGGGCGGGAGGGAGGCAGGAAGGAGACCUCUCACCAUCGCGAAAACCAAAGUUCGGAGCGAGCGCUUAAAGCUGCCAGAGAUCCCGAGGAAAGUCUGGGAUAAAGCUCGAAAGGAUUUUUCAAGAGCGUGCAAGUGCGGCUUCGAGUUUACCCGGCUAGUGGCAAAAUACACACACGCGAGCACACUAACACAGUAGAGUUUACGCACGCGCGAAAAAAAACAAGGAAGGAGGUACGAAGAGCGCGGGCGCGCUUCGAGCCAAAAGCGAGAGAGAGAGAGAGAGAGAGAGCGAGAGAGAGAGAGAGAGAUUGAGAGAGGGAGGGAGAAAGAGAGAAAUAGAGAAAUAGAGAAAGAGAGAAAUCGAGAUCGAGAUAGUGUAGACAAGAUCUCUGCGGAUUUUCCGUGUGUGUGUUUGUGUGUGUUCUCUGUGUUUCUCCUCUUCUCAUCUCCGUGUGUGGGUGUGAGUGAUUUUGUGCAUCAAAAAGUAGAUAUAUCAAUCUCAGUGAAAUUAUUUCAAUAAAAAGAGAAGAAAAGUCAAAGGGAUUAUAUAUUCCAGUGGUGUUUGUCUGUGCGGGGCAAGAGAAAUCAUUGGCUUCGCGCAAAGCGACUAAAAUAAUAAAUCAAUUGAUACAAUUAUUGUUGUUCGGUAAUCGUCUCGUACUUUGUGCAUCAUGGAACCUCAGAAUCAGGAAAUUGUCGCGAGUGCAUCUUUCGCCGAGGUUCCCAACGACCCAGGAAAAAUGUUCAUCGGCGGUCUUUCAUGGCAGAGCAGUCCAGAGAGCCUCAGAGAAUACUUCACGAAAUAUGGCGACAUCACAGAAGUCAUGGUUAUGAAAGACCCAACAACACGACGGUCAAGCAGCGGUGAACCCGUACCGUAUAUGGUGGACAGUGCCGGCCUCAUGUUCACGCCAAGGGGAUUUGGUUUUAUCACUUUUGCGGAUCCCGCCAGUGUUGACAAAGUACUCUCUCAAGGGAACCACGAAUUGGACGGGAAAAAAAUCGACCCUAAGGUAGCAUUUCCAAGAAGGACACAUCCCAAGAUGGUGACAAGGACGAAGAAGAUAUUCGUGGGGGGCCUCUCGGCCCCGACGACGCUCGAGGACGUCAAAAAUUAUUUCGAACAGUUUGGCCCGAUCGAGGAUGCCAUGCUGAUGUUCGACAAGCAGACUAGCAGGCACAGAGGUUUUGGAUUCGUCACGUUUCAGAGCGAGGACGUAGUUGACAAAGUAUGCGAGAUUCAUUUCCACGAGAUUAACAAUAAAAUGGUCGAGUGUAAGAAAGCCCAACCGAAAGAAGUGAUGCUACCCGCGAAUUUGGCGAAGACACGAGCAGCCGGCAGAGGUGCAUACGAUUUUAUGUGGUCCCUGGGAGCAUUACCCGAUGGUUUCCCAGCGGCAGCGUACGCGGCAUACGCGGCAGGCCGCGGCUAUUCGGGGUACCCUAGUUUCGGACUACCCUACCCGACAGGAGUGCCGGCAAUGUACUACCACGGAACCCCAGGGAACGAGAGUGCGGGUCGCCCGUACUCAGAGCCUACGAUGCAACAUCUACAAAGGAGUUCACUGCGGAAGAAAUUGGAUCUGACCAACGGACAACUCACCCCGAACAACAACACACCAUUGCUAACGCAAGCACUUUCUGUGAUGAACAAUUACCAGGCAGCUGCACAAGCAGGAUUUCCUCCAGCCUCGCCCCACGGUGGCGGGGGCCACGGAGGUCCGCAGGGUCGUUCGUUUCCAGCGGCAAAUUCGCCCGGUCCAAUUGACAUGUACAGUACGAGUGCAGCAGCGGCGGCAGCGGCCGCGGCCGCCGAUUCUGUUGCAAGUUACGUCCAGGCAGCGGCUAGUCCCCAGCCACCGACAACAGCGUUUCCCGCGAUCGCAGUUUCCCGGGCCCCGCUCAACUACAGUCCCUACUCACAGCAAGCCCCUCAGUGUGUCUAUUAUGCACCCCUUUCGUGAGUAAUAAUCGUGAGUAUGGUGAGUGGGGAGGGGAGCGAGCGAGCCAAGAGGGAUAGGACAGUGUCUUGGAUGUUAGAUCAAAUUGGCACUCGCUCUCUUCGUACACUCGGGCACAAGACGAUCUCGUCACUUGGAUUAUGCCAAUAUACGAGGGAAAAAGAGGAUUUUCGUAAAGACCCGAGGACACGCGCUGCCCCAAGUCUCAAGAAAACACAUAUAAUAAGUGGUCCUCUGAUACCAGCGGCGUUCACUAAUGGCUACCAUUGAGCCUUGUUAAGACCUAACAACAAAAUGGACGAGAGGGCAACGCGCGGCAAGAUCGACUGACGGCACAACGAUAAAAUGCCUCGCGCAAAUGAUCACACUAAUUAUAUCAACGUCAUCAACACCUAUUUAUGGCAAUGAGAGACACGAGAAUUUCUCGGACCUGGAAGAUAUUUGAGAGACGGUGUAAAAAAAAAAAAAAAAAAAAAAAAAACAAGAAGACCGUAACACAGUCAGCUCCGGCAUGAAUCCAAAGAGGCGUGAGCAGUGACUAGAUGAAAUUAAAAUAAAACUGACCUAUUGGCUCGACCGUUUACUAUAUGAAAACAUUUUGCGAAACCGGGCAAGUACGAAGGAUCGCAUUAUUUUCUGAUAAAAGCAUUUUAUCGGCGUCAAAAACACCAAUUCAACAAAUAGAAAACACGAGGUUCCCCCCCCCCCCCCCCACGCACACACACACUCAUACAUACAUACAUACACACGCGCGCGCGCGCACACACACACACACAGAGACUCAGCGCACACAUACGCAAACCUACACACUCAAAAACGAGCCCAUACACAUACGCGCGCAUGAGGCAAAGGUCUGAGUCGAUCAGAGAAAAAAAAUGAACAACUGGGCAAAAUUGAAGACCGAAGAAUGCUUUCGUCACUCGUGAAUCCAGUAGCGAGGAGAACUCGAGCGUAAAGAUGAUUGAAAAAACACCAAAGCCACGGCCGUAUCUGCAUAUUUGGCGCCCGCCCAUUCUCCGACAUUGAAAAAUAAUAAUAAUAAUAAUGAUAAUAUAUGAAAUAAUAAUCAUAUUAAUAAUACCGAAGGGGCGAGGGGGAAUAAUGAUUGAAAUAUAUAUAUAUAUAUAUAUAUAUAUUAAUAAACUAAUUAUUAAUUGCUAAAUAAUUAAGCGGUCAAGUCUAUGAUAUAAAUAUACACGUAUGCAUAUAUCCCCAUAUGUAUUUAUACAUAUGGGAGUGUGUGCAUAUAUUACGAUAUAAAUAAUUGAUAUCUCAAUACAGAGAAAAACGAAUAUGAAAGAGAAAAAUAAAGAAAAAUCGUUAGGAUGUAAUUACGAUGAAUUACCAAUAAUUCACGCACGAAUAAUAUAAUAUAUAUAUAUAUAUAUAUAUACAUAUGUACGUGUAUGUAUAUAAGGUUAUAAUAUAAUCGAUUAAUCGUUAUUAUCGAUUACUGAGGAAUGCGCAAACAUGCAGCCUCAAAAAUAUUCUAUUGAAAAAAAAAAUGGGGAAGACAAGCACGGAUCACGCGUACAUUUUGGUACAUAAUUUUUAUUAUAUUAUUCGUUGAUAUCGUUGAUGUAAAAAAAAUUAUUGUAGAAAUGAUUCUCCAUUUUUUUUACUUCGUUUUGUUUGGAGAUUUUUUUAGUUCUCUCGUAUAUCAUAAAAAAUUAAUGAUUACUGAUAACGGGAAAUAAAAAUGGAGGGUUUACUCUCGAUUCGUUAAAAAAAAUUGUCCCUUCAGGUAUAUUGAGAUUAAAAUCCCAAUUACCAUGAUCGAUUAUCUCGAAGAAUGAUUAUAGGACAAUGUUUGGAAAGAACAAUGAAAUUGUGAGAAGUAAAAAUAAUUAAUUAUGAGAGAGAGAGAGAGAGUGUGAGGGAAGGGGAGCGAGAGGGCGAGAGAAAGAAACACAGAGCGAAUGGAUUUUAACGUUUAAUAUGAAACGAUUUAUUAAUUAUUGAUUAAGUGAAUUAUUAAGAGAAAUGAAAGAGGUAAGGGAUUGAAGUAAUAAGAAAAAGAAUUGUUUCUGUGACGUAACUAGGCGCGAGGAUGAUGAAACAGGAUUGAAAAAAACGAACAAUAAAUACGAGUAACGAGCGAGUGUUUUACGUUUUUGUAAUUUUAAAGAACGCCAACACCAAUCUCUUGAGAAAAAAAAUAUAUACGUAUAUAUAAAUAAAUACAUAUAAAUAAAUAUACGAUCGAUGAUGGUCGUUUGAUGUUCGAAAGAGCAAUGAAGAUUCAAUUUAUUCUGUAGAGUGAAAUAUUGCGACAAGCACGUACAGCGAGAUGAAAAAAAAAAAAAAGAAAAAGCAAACCCAAACAAAAUUCGAAUCAUUUACGAACACCACACUUUUUACAUGUGCAAUGAAUAAUUCUCAUAGCGCUUGAAUUACAUGUUUUCGUUUUUCGUCACCUCGUCCGAAAAAUCUUCAAAGAAAAGAAUUGAGCUAUUAAGAAGCAAGAGGAAAAAAAAGAGUAACAAUGGGAAGAAAAAACAAUAAGCAAAAAAAGGGGUAUGUCUGUGUUCGUUAAAAUCUGAUUGAGUAUUUAUUAUACACUUGAUAUUUAUUGAAUUUGCAAAUUAUGAAAAACAAUUAAUAUAAACUAUUCGUAUCAUUACCAUAAUUAUUAUUUGUAUUAUUAUUAUUAUAAUUAUUAUUAUAUGUCAAUAGCAUGUGUCAAUUUGCUGAGCCAAGAGUUCCCGCGGCUCCGACACAUUAUUAUUGUUGUUGCUGUUAUUAUUAUUAUCAUUAUUAUUAUUAUUAUUAUUAUUCCUAUUAUUAUAAUUAUGAAUAAACGACUAUAUGUACGAUUAUAAUACGGUUAUAUUAUAUUCGACGACAGGGUAAAUAAGGACGAAAAAACAAAACUCUCAAAUAGUGAAAUAUAAACUGAGGAAAAAAGGGGCCGGUUGAAAAGCGAGAUGAAAGUUCGCGAAGAGACACGCCGAACGUCGACCAUUUUGUCCUUUUUUCUCUUUGAUUAUGUCCGUUGCAAUGAGAAUAAAAGUUGAAAAAAUUAAUUAAAAUAAAAAAUAAACGAAAAAAGACUUUCGUGAGUAAUAAUCUCUUUGGAGCACGUGCCUGAGCGCGAACGGUGUCAAUUCUUGUGAACGCAGCAAUACUUUUGCGAUAACAAACAAAAUAAACUUAAACAUACACGAACACACAUAAACACAAGUUAAGUGGGAUAAAUAGAUGAAGAAAAUUCAGAAAAAAAAAACGAAACAACCAAACACUAAAACAUCGUAACCAAAUGGUAGUCGGUUCGUUACUUCAAGAGGGAACAACAAUAAACAAGAUUGACUUGAGAAAUAUUGGAAAAAAAAUCUGAUUCGGUCAAAAAAACAUGAUCAUCAAUACUGAAAAUAAGAAAUUGCCGGCACACCGUUUUUUUUUUCGUAAAAAAUAGAAAGAACUCGUUUUGAAGUUAUUUAUUUGAACGUAAAAACAAAACAAAAAAAUGCAAGGACGAAUGAACGACUGAAAUUUUAUCGAAAACGAUACAAGUUAACGUUUCCGAAUGAAACAGGGCGUUAAAAUUAAACUGAUGAAACACGCUCACCUCGCUCCGCGUACGUCAAACAUUCGAGGGUAAAUUUUGUUCGCUUAUUUCAGAGAAAAUUGAUGAAAACUAUACCUAUAUUGACAGUAAUAAUAAUAGAAAUAAUAGUUAUAAUAAUAAUAAUAAUAAUAAUAAUAAUAAUAAUAAUAAUAAUAAUAAUAAUAAUAAUAAUAAUAAUAAUAAUAAUAAUAAUAAUAGUGAUAACAUUAAUUAUAAUAAAUCUAAUAAAAUUAAGAGUAAUACUACUGAUAACAAUAAGGAUAAGGUUUGAGAAAAUGAAGAAAACAAAUAUGUUAAGACACUGUAGCCCAAGAAAAAAAUUAUGUUAGGGGAUCAUAAUCCGGUAUAUCGCAUGAAUAAAUUAAACUAUAACCACGGAAGAUUGAAAAAGACAGAAGGGAUUGCGAAUGAGAAUAAAAUAAUAAUAAUAAUAAUAAUAAUAAUCACGUGUACCCAACACACAAACGUUGCAUCCAACAAUGAAGUGAGGUAAUUAAAAAAAAAAAAAAACAAGAAAGGAGAAGUAAAAAAUAAUAGCGAACACUACAAGGAUAUAACACCAGCUCAA